Molecule: ribosomal RNA, 427 nt
Filed under: uncultured bacterium
Lineage: Bacteria
Description: partial 16S ribosomal RNA
Rfam family: Bacterial small subunit ribosomal RNA
Source: RNAcentral
GUGGGGAAUAUUGGGCAAUGGGGGAAACCCUGACCCAGCGACGCCGCGUGAGGGAAGACGGCCUUCGGGUUGUAAACCUCUUUUGUACGGGAAGAAGGAAGUGACGGUACUGUACGAAUAAGUCCCGGCUAACUACGUGCCAGCAGCCGCGGUAAUACGUAGGGGACGAGCGUUGUCCGGAAUUACUGGGCGUAAAGGGCGCGCAGGCUGUGCUGCAAGUCAGCUGUGAAAUGUCUGGGCUUAACCCGGGCAUGCGGUUGAGACUGCAGUGCUGGAGUGCUGUAGAGGCAAGUGGAAUUCCCAGUGUAGCGGUGAAAUGCGUAGAUAUUGGGAAGAACACCGGUGGCGAAGGCGACUUGCUGGGCAGCAACUGACGCUGAGGCGCGAAAGCCAGGGGAGCAAACGGGAUUAGAUACCCUGGUAGUCC